Molecule: non-coding RNA, 2186 nt
Organism: Oryzias melastigma (Indian medaka)
Lineage: Eukaryota; Metazoa; Chordata; Actinopteri; Beloniformes; Adrianichthyidae
Source: the annotation of a RefSeq genome assembly
AUAAUCAGUGAUAAAUUCAGAAGAACAAAAGCAGAAACAUGUCAUCUCUUUUCUAUCACAGAGCUGCGCGUCGUUUCUCCAAACAUCAGCCUGUAUCCUGUCUGGGAAGGUCAGUUUGGAGUCUCACAGGUCAGACUCAUCUGCACCCUGAACGGUUACUUUCCCAAAAACCUGAGUGUGGAGUGGCAGCAGAACAACCAGCAGCUGACACGGAUCCAGCCCACAGAAAGACAUCUGCAGAGUGUGGAGGGGGGAGAGAAAACCUACAGUCUGACCUCUGAGAUUGAGCCAAACAUGGAAGAGUGGACAAGAGGCUCCAACUUUACCUGCAAGUUCAUUCACAAGGAGAGCAGAGAUGAAAAGACAACAAGUAUUUGUCACAUCUUUGGAUUCAAUCCUCCUUCCAUUCAUGUGGAGAUUCCCAGCUUCAAGACAGUGAUGAUGACCAACUCUGAUGUGAAAGCUACAUGCUUCAUCCACAAUGUUGAUGCCGAGCUGGUCUGGUUAAUGGAUGAGAAAACACCAUCCACUGACAAAAUCAAAAAUACCUCAAACAAAACCACAGUAGUCAGUGAACUGACAGUUCCAUCCAGCAGCUGGAAAAACCUGAAGCUUCUGAAAUGUAAAGUUCAGCAUCACUGCUUUACUGCUGAGAAGAUUGUAGAGGUUUCAGGUCCUUCCGUUCCAGCUCCUCAGGUGAACAUCAGGAGAUCUCUGUCAGACCUGCAGAAACAACACAAUGACUUCAAGCUGCACUGUGACCUUUCACAGCUCUCCUCACAGCAUAUCUAUGUCACACUUCAGUCUAAAGGAGCUGACAUUUCUGACAGACAGUAUGUUGAUCUUCCUGAAGCUCCAGCCUCACAUACAGUCAGUGUGAGCUUCUCUGUUCCUCAGUCCUACUGGAAGAGUGACCAGAGUUUCAGCUGCAAAGUCCAUCAAGGCUUUUCCAGUCAGUCUUUUGAGUCCAAAGCCAUCAGUGUUUCUGCAGAUCCAUCAGUGGAAGUCCUUCAGGUCUCCAGUAAAGAGUCAGGAAAACAGAAACUCUUGUGUUCUGGAUCAGGCUUUAAUCCACACAUUAAUUGGUUUUCAGACUCAGAGUUAAAAUCAGCAUCAAGCACAGACGUCAGCAUGGAUCCAAAUGGACGUGUGACUGUAAUCAGUCGACUGGAUGUUCUUCAGACUGAGUGGAAAACAGGGAAGACCUUCACCUGUGAAGUGUUUGAUAGGUUUCUAGAAAUAAGCGAUAAAAAAGACAUCAGCCUGUGUUCAGUCUUUGGAUUCAAUCCUCCUUCCAUUCAUGUGGAGAUUCCCAGCUUCAAGACAGUGAUGAUGACCAACUCUGAUGUGAAAGCUACAUGCUUCAUCCACAAUGUUGAUGCUGAGCUGGUCUGGUUAAUGGACGGUAAACAACCAUCCACUGACAGAGUGAAUGAAUUCUCAAACAAAACCACUGUAAUCAGUGAACUGACAGUUCCAUCCAGCAGCUGGAAAAACCUGAAGCUUCUGAAAUGUAAAGUUCAGCAUCAGUGCUUUUCUGCUGAGAAGACUGUAGAGGUUUCAGGUGAGAAGAUCAACUAUUAUCAGUGUUGUUUAACCGAAACCAGUAUAAAGGAUGUUUUUGCCUCAGUGAUCCACAUUGAACCAUCAGCCCUCCUUCUCCAGGGUUCAAAUGAACUUGUGUGUCUAGUCUUUGGCUUCAGUCCUGCAUCCAUUAACAUCACCUGGAUUCGUGAUGGAAGCACAGAGCUGUGGAACUACAAUAACAGUCAUCCCUACAGAGGCCCGGAUGGAAAGUUCUGCAUCCAAAGCUUCCUCCGUCUGUCUCCAGUUGACUCCUUACCCGGGGUGAACCUCACCUGCAGAGUGACACAUGGAAACACCACUCUGUCUGUGAAUGUCUCCAGAACAGACACGUUGGAACAAUGUCAUUUCUUUGAUGACAUCUUGCAUGUUGAUAUGAGCCAAGACACAGUCAUGCAAGCUUGGGGUGUGGCCAUUUUCUUCCUCCUCUUAUUCUUCAUCUCCAUCAUCUUUUCUGCUGUCAUCACAUCUUUGAAGAUGAAAUGAAGAGGAUGACAGAGACAUAUCCCGUUUUCUGCUGGCAUCUCAGGAUUUUUGAUGACAUUUUAGCUGUUUUAGACAAUUUUAAAGAUUUGGUAUCUUAUGUCUAUAUGUGUUUGCUU